RNAcentral lists this long non-coding RNA (9189 nucleotides) under Medicago truncatula (barrel medic). Its description in RNAcentral is "long non-coding RNA (MTRU_LNC008697)". Lineage: Eukaryota; Viridiplantae; Streptophyta; Magnoliopsida; Fabales; Fabaceae. The record is from RNAcentral.
UCAAGCAACACAUUAGUAGCCUUGAUGUCCCUGUGAACAACCUUCAGUCUUGAUUCUUCAUGAAGGUAUGCUAAACCUCUAGCAAUACCAACACAUAUUUUCUUUCUUGGUGACCAAUCUAAUCUUAUUUGGUGUUCCUCUGGACCUUCAUUUUUGAAUGUAAUAAAAAUCAGACAAUGAAACUACAUAGUCGACUGCUAAGAUAGAAAAUGCGAAAUAUCACAAAAAUAGACCAUAUCGUAAAAAUUACCAAAUAAAGCACGAGCAAGACUAUUGUUUUCCAAGUAUUCAUAUAUCAGCAACAAUUGAUCUCCCUCCACACAACAACCGUGGAGUUUAACAAGAUAAGGGUGUUGCAAAGCUGAAAUCAUGCCUAUCUCGUUUAAAAACUCACGAUUCCCUUGCUUUGAUUUUGAAGAAAGUUGCUUCACUGCUAUCAAUGUCCCAUUUGGUAAACUUCCCUGAAUAUUAAGGAAUGGUUGGCUGUUAGAAGUUAAAAAGGAGUUUUAUGAAAAGCAUGACACACGAGGAUUUGUUAUAUUAUGCAAAAUACCUUGUACACAGGACCAAAUCCUCCUUCUCCAAUCUUAUAGGCAAUAUCAAAGUUGUUAGUCGCUGCUUUGAUUUGCCGUAACGUAAAUAGCCCAGGUUGGAAAUCUAAACCCUUUAGCUCUGUUGAUUGAAGUAAAAAAGAAUAUAUAAAAUCAGAGAUUUGUUUUGAGCAAUUUCCACAUCAAUACGUUUAGCAAGUACAAAUCUAGACAAAAUGGCAGCAUUGACAAAACAAUCUAUAUUAUUAUAAAAUCAAAUUCACCUGUUAUGUUUAUAAAGAAAUUUCCCAAAAUUAACUUUUAUGCUUGAAAAAUCCCAAUUGUGCAUCAAAAUCGUGUUUUAGAGUUAAUCUAUCUUCUUAGGUCUUACCUCUUUCUAACGGACCUAUAUGUCUGAGACAUCUUAUCCACCGAGAUAUACCAAAUAUCAGUAAGAUAACUAGUCCUCCAGCAAGAACAAUCACAGCAAUUUUCCAAACAGGCAUGCUACUUCCCUUUUCCACCGGGGGUGUAAAGUCUGUUUAAUUAUGAUAAAAUAUAAAAGAUUUGCAUAUAAACCAUAUUAGAGGAUGAUGGCAUAAGAACCAUGAAGAACUAUAACUGACCAGGAUCAACCGAUAUAGCCGAUAUAAGAGGACCAUAUACCGAUCCAAAUGGGAUAGCAGUUGUCCCUUUCCCAGCCCAAUGAAGGCGAAUCUCCAACGUAUUACUAGUCACAAUAGCAGUGAAUUUCUUUACGACUGCCUUACCAACUCCACCGGCUUCUUUUGCAAUAUUGAAAUCCUUCAGCACCAACCUUGUCUGCAAUAAUUCAAUCAAAAGAAGGUUUAUAAUCUUCAAAGGACAAUUUGAUCAAUACAAAAAAUGUUGUUGACAAAGAUAUAUUUUUUUUGGAUAAGGCACAAAAACACUAAAAGGUUGUUGACAAAGAUAAGACAAUGAGACUAUAACCUGAAUAUAGAUGUCAAAUAUGCGCCUCCCAAGACUGUUAUAUGUUUGGUCAUCGGUGAACAUUAUCUCCGCAAAAUGGAGAUUUACUGUGUAGUUUCCAUUUCCCAUGCAAAAUCCAUAAUAUGUUAGGGAAAGAGGAGAAACCCGUGAAUCCAUAUACAACUCACCAUUGUCGAUGGAAAGGUUCGUUUUAUUAGACCAGGUAUAGUAAUCCUCCACAAGGCUACUAUCAAAGAAGUGGCCGGUGUUGCUAAGUGCCCAAUUCGAUCCACUACGGUGAAAGCUUGCUGCUGGUCCAACUUCAUUAGAAUCAUCGUCAUAUAUCAAGCUUUCGUUAGAAGUUAUGACUUUACCACCACAAUUUAUAUGGAGAGAGUACCAAGCUGGAAUAACCAGAAAAGAAUUAAAUGCUAAUUACAAUAAGAUAACCACAUUAGAAAAAAUUAAAGUUAUCAAUACAAAAAAAAAAAAUUGGAUUCUUGCAUCCUUAUGUAUCGACACUUCCAUUGCUAUUUCCUUAACUUUCAGUUUGAGUUGACUUACAUAAGUUGAUGCAAGAGAAAAAAGAUAAGCAGUGGAUUAAUGAAAAAGAGAAAUGAAAAGAUGAUUUGUUUGGUUACAUGAUAUCUAAUUUGUAGGUACUCAUUAAUAAAUGCUUACAAAGAAGGUGAAGCCAAGAAAAAUGGACCAUUGACAAACAAUACCGAUUAAGUUGUUCAGAUGACUAACUCAUAUUAACAUGGCGUUCUUCGGGAAGAAAAGUUCGCAUUUCACAUUCUACCUUUGAAGAAAUAAAUAAAUUGAAAUGGAGAAUCUGAAGGAAAUCCAUUACCAAUCAACUUACUUUUCGGACAGCCAUUGUUCCCCAAGCAUUCAACCUUAUUUCCCCUGAGAAAAUAAUGAAGGUGUGUAACAUAUCAGCAUAAUCACAUUAUAAUAUGUAUAAGCUAUAUGCAUAAAAUGACUUAUGAGUAGGACAAAACUUACGAGUUAUUUCCCUUUGAAGAUGAUGCAAACAAGUUCCUACGGCACAUGGUUAAUAAAUAGCCAAAGCUUAGAUAGUUUCUUAAAAUAUCUGAAACAAAAAAAGUAUGCAAAUACAUGGAUUCUUACAAGGUUCCCUGUUGACAUGUCAACUGCUCUGGAUUUACAAUGCUCAAGUUGUUAUAUGAAAGAUCUCUGUCAAUUUAAGCAUGUGAUUCAGAAUUAAAGAUGGAACAAAGAACUAUAUGUAACACUUAUUUACAUUGAAAUAUAGAAACCUAAUGGUAAAGCAAUUUAGCAUGCAGGAGUUAUAAUUUUCAAAUCAAUAAAUCAAAUAAGUAGGGUUGGAAGGAUUACUCACGUAUAGUCUGGUCUAGCUAUCCAAUUUGGCAGUGGUCCAGUAAAAAGGUUUCUAGUUAAGUAUCUAGGUAAAAAGAUCAGAGAAGUCAAUUGAUAAAACUCAUCAAUAAUUUAUGAACCAUUAAAAUGGUAAAUACUGUUAAAUUAUAUAUCCUCUUCCCACAUAACACGGAUAGUCCCAAGAAUCCUUUCAUCGACUAAACUGAGCUAAUCAUACCGAUAUUCAUUUUAAUAAAGACUAGAUCGUGACCCACUUGGGUUGGCCCGGUGGUGUUGGCUUGGGCCUUCAAGUUUGCUCAGGCCUAAAGUUAGAACAAAUGUAUACAAGUAACUCAAAGGAUGAUGCUUACAGUAUAUUUAUGUUCUUGAGGCCGCCCAAAGUGUUCGGAAUCUGUCCGCUUAAUUUGUUAAAACUGAGGUCUCUGAAAAAGAAAUUAUGUUCAGGAUAGUAUUACUCAAGAGAAAAUUUGUUUUCGGAAAAGAAACAAGAAAAAUGUUUAGUGACAAUGAUUUUAAAUACUUACAAUGAUUUUAAAUUGGUAAUAUUUCCAAGAUAUUCUGGAACUGUUCCUAUAAGAUUGCAACUCCUCAGUACUCUGUCAAACAAUUUGAUAAUAUGUAAAUCUUUAAGUGCAAAAUGGCUAUGGUGUUUACUCUUUCUUAUUUUUUUGUUACUAAAAAGAUUGCUUUAUACUAAAAAUCCAAGAAAUUCACUCACAAUGUUUCCAAGUUUUUCAAGUUAUUAAGUUGCGGAAAAUGAGAAUCUGAUCCUUUCAAGUCACUUAUUCUCCUGCAUAACAUUUUUUAAGCAUGGUGAAAUUCAAUAAGAGAAAAUAUGAAUUUUGAGCCUGUGAACCACAAACUAUGAAGCACUGACACAAAAAAGAACACCAGACAGAUACAAUACAUACAUUGACACACAGACACCCGUAAUAAUUUGAAAAAAUUGAAUUGCUCAAAUGCGACUACAGUCGGUGUCGGGUCAAUGUCAGGCACCUAUCAUGCCAUCAAUUCGAAGUGUCGGUGCUCUACAGACCACAGUAAGAAACAUCUUACUUACAAGUCGGUGAGGUUUUUUAGAUAUGAAAUUCCAGAAGGAAUUGGUCCACUCAAACCACUCCCUUGCAUAACCCUGUCACAAUCAAGAGUCGUUCUUUUGAUAAAUAGAUAAAUAAUAUGCAAUUCAACUAGGAAAAGAAAUUGAUGAUUUAGAAAUUUCACAACAAGAAAUAAAAAGUUCAUACAGCCUCUCAAGACUUUCCCAGCUUUGAAUGAAAUCAGGUAAAGUUCCAGAGAAUUGAUUGUCGCCAAGUCGACUGCAUUUUUAGACGGUAAGCAACAGAUUAAUAUGAAGUCGAUUAGACCGUAAGCAACAGAUUAAUAUGAAAUUGAUAUAGUAAAUGUAAUUCAGUGUAACAAAAAUAACCAAACAAAGGAUUCUUACAUCUGCUUCAGAUUAGCGAGCUUAGCAAAUGUUGCUGGUAAAUUUCCAGUAAAAUUGUUGGAGGUAAGAAGCCUGCAAAAUAUUGAAUGAAUAUAAUCACACUUAUUUUAUAGGUUUUUCUAUAUAAAUCAAACUACCUAUAGAAACCUAUGAAUUUGGAAAUAGUUUCCUCGCCAAUGUUCAUCUAAUCACAUCAAAGCAUCCAAGUUUAAAGCAUAAAAUGUAGACAAAAAACUUCUCAAUCAACACUAAAGCUAUAUGAUAUAACACGGUUAUAACUGCUAUUUGACAACAUUUUGAACUAAAUUGCAUAUUUUGGAACAACAACGAUUUAUUUAAAUUCUGCUAUGCUCUAUCCUCUUUGGAAAUAUAAAUUGUGAUUUCCAACUCCUACAAAUUAAGGGGCUUACAGUCUUUCAAGUCGAUGAAGAUUUCCAAGCUCCGGAGGAAGCUGUCCAGAUAAUUGAUUGAACUCUAGAACCCUAUGCAUUUCAAGUUUCAAUAAUUAUAAGUUCCUUGAGCAAUUUUCAAAAAAUCGAAAUAAGAAAAUUACUUACAAGCUUUUCAGGGUGAUGAUUUUUCCAAGUUCUUUUGGAAUUGGACCAGUUAAACGAUUUCCUAAUAGUGAACUGUCAAAAAAUUAAGAAACAUUGCAAAACUACUUAGAAGAUUAUAUUCCAAAAGGAAAAAAAAUAUAAAAAUGAUAUAAAAAAACAAUACUCAUUUCUCAUAAAUAUUUACUAUUUUUUUUUGUUACAUGUUACAAAAUUUUCAUCGCUAAACCGAAUUUUCUUAGUUCGCAAGAAAACAUGAUCAAAGUCCUGACCAGUUGCUUGAAAGGUAUAAGAUUCUUACCACUUGGACAAAUUCAUUGUUGAUGAACGAUUUACUAAUUAAAUUCCAUUAAUCAGCAUAAAAUAAAUUAACAAGAAAUCAAAGAAAGGGUAAGAGGAAAUACAUAUUGACAAGAUGCAUGGAACCCCAUUGUGGAGGGAUUGUACCAUUAAGGUAGUUGCGAGUAAGAUCACUGUACCAACAAAAUAGUGAACAAAUAAACAUUAUGAUAAUUUAAUGAUGAUGAUGAUGAUAUACAAAUUUAGUAAGGUGUAGAAUGACAACAUACAUUUCUUGGAGGUAAGGCAAUCUAGCAAGUUCCCUUGGAAGUGUGCCCGAAAGAUUUUGUGACUUGAGAACACUGCAACAUUGAUUUUUGAGGCAAAAAUGAAAUUCAUAACUAGAAAUCUAGAGCAUAAAAAUAUUUUUAUUAUAAGCUUGUUUAACAUUUUGAAAUUGUUAUCCAACCGAAGGUUGACCAUUUAUAUAUAGCCACUUUUUUACUUGGUAGAAAUAUAUAAUUAUUCUUAUUUAUUACACAUAACAUGGAAUGCAAAUUAAAUGGUUGAAUUUAAGUAUUUAAUGAAUUUUAAUUAAGGUUGGUAGAAAUAUAUACUUGGUCUUUUAGGCAUAAAGACAUUGAAGAAGAUCUUCAACAAACACACAAAAGAGGCACACAUAUGGAGAUUAGGGACAUACAUGCUAACAAUAUGGCAGACAGUGGAAUUGGCAAAAUAGCAAUUGCAUGUAACAGCAUUUGCAAACCCUUUCAUUGGACUAGAUGUCCAGUUACUUUGUCCACUGCAUGGAUCUAUGCUGAAGUCCCAAUCCUUCUUCCCAAGUGUCUUAGCUAUGUCUUUCAUAACUUGUACUGUAAAUUAUUCAAAAGAAACAUAUAUACAUAAUCAUAAUGUUAAAACCAUAUUGUAUUGGAAUUUGAAAUAUGAUUUUUUUUCUACUACUACAAAAAAGUUGAGUUAUAGUGACAAAAAGUAGAGAUUGAAAAACAAAAAUUGUUUGAGUUCAGUUUUAAAGAUGCAAAAAUUGAAGACCAUUUUUAUUUAUUUCGUCUUUAAUAUUCAACGGGUGAGUUGGACCGCAAGGAUUCACCAGAGUAAGAACAGUCUCAAGACUAAAAGAGCAUUGAGAGUGAUACUUACAUAAUAUCCACAAAUAAUGUCCUAACGCCGGUGGGAGGAGUUAAACUCAAGCCCUUGCAAGGUAUGAGCCUACUCUUUACCAACUGGUCGACCUCUCUUAGUAACAGUGAUGUUUUUAUUGUGCUAAUAGUUUACUAAGAGACAUAUAAGGUACGUACCUUCUUCUUCUAAUAAAGUAGCUCCACUAGCAAAUGAAGAGAUCAAACAAAAAGCAAGAAGCAAAAGAUGAAAUGAUAGAGGAAAAUUCAUGUUCAUGAUGAUAAGCUUCAUAUUUGAAGAGAUAAUAUCACUUUAUGAUAAAUCAGUGGAAGAAUUAUGAUCUUAAGCAUGUUACCAGCUUGUAUAUAUGUAAAAUUUAAGGUUUCUUAAAGGAGGCUACUUGAGUUAAAUAUAUGAAUUAUAAUGAAGUAUAAAGGGGUAUACACGUUGUAAAUCUUGAAAUGUGUGUUAGGUAUUAUUUUCCUUGUAGUUUAGUUUAACUUUCUUACACAAGUUGCUAAUUCAGUACUAUAUAUCUCGUCUCUAAUCAGAAUAUGGUUGACUUUUUGUGUUUUGAUUACACAAGUUAGUGAAUGAGUCAAAGAAGUAAGAAGAAAAUCUAAGAGAAAGUGACAGGUGAACAUGAAGUGUGAAAGGAGGAGACAAAAAGGGAGGAGGUUAGUGAUGAUAGAAUAUAUUAUUUACCACUAACUUAAGGACUAUAAUUUGUUAAAGUCAGUGUGCUAGUUUCUUUGUUGAUAAGAAAUCAAACAUUAUUAAUUUGCAUUUUUUUUUUUUUAAGAUUAGAAAUCAAAUUCAAUAUUGUCGAGUUUACAAUGCGCACCAAUAAACACAUUAACCAUUUGUACUAGACUCCGAUGAUAUCAAUAUGCUUUGUUGAUAUAUAGAAAAGUUGAAUAUAGUAUCUUUGUGACACAUAGGCAAACGUUGUCUCAUAAUCGAUUAAGAAUUUUCACCUAUUCAAACGGUUCAUUUUUUUGAAAAAAACGAACCAAACUGUUCUAAUGGUUCAUAAAACCGAACCGAACCAUGUGUUAACCAUGUGUAGUUUGGGCCAAAACUGCUACAUAUGCUUUUUGACAACAAUUUUCAUAGUUUAGAUUAUAUUUGUUUAACUGUUAAAAACAAAAAGGUUGUAGUGAGGGUAAACUAUGUGAUGUAUUAGGAGUUCGAAAUGUAGCAAUUGAUGGAAAACAUUGGGACUAAGCACAUGAGGAGAGCCUAAUCCAAAAAAACGGUUUAUUAGAUAGAACCGGUUAACCAUAUUGAGUAAUUGUAUCUACUCAAUGUGCAACUCCUGACAUUGUCACACCCGUUAAAAGUUGACGUCACAACGGAAUUCACUCUAUCGUAGUAACUCCCUGAUAGCUCUUUUCUCUUUCAAGACUUCACUCAUCUAUUUAUGAUUGAGUAUUCAGUGGAGCUAAAUUCUCAACAAAAACACCAUUUUCUUUUACAAAGAACAGUGUAAUAGAAUUCAAAACUGAGUUUAAGAUAUCAUGGUGUUUUUGUUAAACUGAGUUUAAGCUAAAUUCUCAACAACACACCAUUUUCUUUUACAAAGAACAGUGUAAUAGAAUUCAAAACUGAGUUUAAGAUAUCAUGGUUUCUUCACAUGAUAAUGGGAGGACUUCAAGCAGCAGAUGCAAUUAUUUUUCAACAAACAAUCUUAAUUUCUUUUCUCCCAAUAAGAAGAAUCAAGGCGGACAGGAUAAAGGUCCGCAGCUGAUGAAGAUGAAGCAGUCCAUGGCCCAUCAGUUAAUAAACUUUGAGUUUGUGUUUGUGAUUUACUUGUCUUAUUUUCUUCAAUCUGAUAGUAAUACUGUCUCAUUGCUUCCAACUUUUUCUCAUCCAUUACUUCACUUGAAUCUGAAACAAAUUCUGGAACCACGGUAUUUCCUUCAAGCAUACUUACCACGGACGACAUCGAUGGCCUAAGGUUUGAAGUGAGGUUGGUGCAUAGGAGAGCAACAUUGAUCAUCACCAUAGCUUCCUUUUUGUUGAAAUCUAAACCUAAUCUUCUAUCAACUAGUUCCAUUAGGUCACCUCUCUCUUUCAACAAAUGUGCCUGUCGAAAGAAAAAAAAAAAUAGUUUCAUUUCAAACAAAUCUAAAUUCAAUUUUUGAAAAUUCUUCAAAGAACGAACUUCUUCAAAGAAACAAUAAAUGUGUGACACAAAACGAAGUGCAAGUAGAUAGUACAAUGGAUAAUCAGAUUUACAUGACUAAUUGACAACAUUAAAAAGUUACCCAAUCAAGAAGAUAGAAUGCUUCCUCCUUUGACCGAUACAUGGUGUUGCUCUUUCCACUAACGAUUUCCAAAGCAACAAUUCCAAAACUAUAAACAUCUGCUUUAUCCGUCAAAUAACCAUGCAUUGCAUAUUCAGGAGCCAUAUAUCCACUGCAUAGUUGGAACAUAUCAUUGUAAUAACUUGAUAUCAGUAUAAAACAUAUUAAAGUUUUAUACUAUAAAAAUAUCAUUUGAACUGAAUUUGGUAACUUUUUGGAGUAAUUUUUAAUAAACUCGGAGCAGGAAACACUUGUAUAGUUACUCACUAUGUCCCAGCAAUUCUUGUGCUAAUGUGAGUAUUCUCCUCCUCAUCAAGCUUGGCCAAACCAAAAUCAGAUAUCUUUGGGUCGAGAUUCGCAUCAAGCAACACAUUGGUAGCCUUGAUGUCCCUGUGAACAACCUUCAGUCUUGAUUCUUCAUGCAGGUAUGCCAAACCUCUAGCGAUACCAACACAGAUCUUCUUCCUUGUUGACCAAUCUAAUUUUAUUUGGUGUUCCUCUGGACCUUUAUUAGUGGAUGUAAUAAGAAUCAAACAAUUAUACUACUAGUUAUGUCCUAAGUUAGAAAAUGUGAAAUAACGCAUGAAUAGCAACCCAAAGUAGGCCAUAAAGGAAAA